This 468-nucleotide ribosomal RNA is filed under the name uncultured bacterium. RNAcentral's name for it is "partial 16S ribosomal RNA". It matches the Rfam family "Bacterial small subunit ribosomal RNA", at positions 28 to 507 of the family's 1533-position model. The record is from RNAcentral.
GAUGAACGCUGGCGGCGUGCUUAACACAUGCAAGUCGAACGGUGAAGGCGGAGCUUGCUCUGCUGGAUCAGUGGCGAACGGGUGAGUAACACGUGAGCAAUCUGCCCCUGACUCUGGGAUAAGCGCUGGAAACGGCGUCUAAUACUGGAUACGAGCUGCGAAGGCAUCUUCAGCAGCUGGAAAGAACUUCGGUCAGGGAUGAGCUCGCGGCCUAUCAGCUUGUUGGUGAGGUAACGGCUCACCAAGGCGUCGACGGGUAGCCGGCCUGAGAGGGUGACCGUCCACACUGGGACUGAGACACGGCCCAGACUCCUACGGGAGGCAGCAGUGGGGAAUAUUGCACAAUGGGCGAAAGCCUGAUGCAGCAACGCCGCGUGAGGGACGACGGCCUUCGGGUUGUAAACCUCUUUUAGCAGGGAAGAAGCGAAAGUGACGGUACCUGCAGAAAAAGCGCCGGCUAACUACGUG